CCUGGCGGCCUUAGCGCGGUGGUCCCACCUGACCCCAUGCCGAACUCAGAAGUGAAACGCCGUAGCGCCUAUGGUAGUGUGGGGUCUCCCCAUGCGAGAGUAGGGAACUGCCAGGC
RNAcentral lists this ribosomal RNA (116 nucleotides) under Escherichia coli. The record is from RNAcentral. Lineage: Bacteria; Pseudomonadati; Pseudomonadota; Gammaproteobacteria; Enterobacterales; Enterobacteriaceae.